RNAcentral lists this unclassified non-coding RNA (330 nucleotides) under soil metagenome. RNAcentral describes it as "partial contains 5.8S ribosomal RNA, internal transcribed spacer 2, and large subunit ribosomal RNA". The stretch from base 1 to 120 matches the Rfam family "5.8S ribosomal RNA", at positions 35 to 154 of the family's 154-position model. The record is from RNAcentral.
GAUGAAGAACGUAGCGAAAUGCGAUAAGUAAUGUGAAUUGCAGAAUUCAGUGAAUCAUCGAAUCUUUGAACGCACAUUGCGCCCCCUGGUAUUCCGGGGGGCAUGCCUGUUCGAGCGUCAUUUCACCACUCAAGCCUCGCUUGGUAUUGGGCAACGCGGUCCGCCGCGUGCCUCAAAUCGACCGGCUGGGUCUUCUGUCCCCUAAGCGUUGUGGAAACUAUUCGCUAAAGGGUGUUCGGGAGGCUACGCCGUAAAACAACCCCAUUUCUAAGGUUGACCUCGGAUCAGGUAGGGAUACCCGCUGAACUUAAGCAUAUCAAUAAGCGGGGA